GGAGUAAGCAGUUUUAUUUCCAUUGCACAAUCAGGGAAAACUGAUGAACCAACACAAUAAGGUACAAUUUCCUGAAAUGAUUAGUAAGCUGGGAUGCUCCUUUUGGGCAAAACCUAAGUGGAGAUCAGAAAGUCAGCUGAUCUUUGAGAUAAUGGUGAGCAUCUGCACCUGGAAAACCAGAUAUUCUGAAGGGUCUGCUCUCAGUACUCAAGAAGGAGGAGGUAACAAAGCCUUCUUGUCCGUCCUGUAUCUGUUGGCUUGUAUGAUGGUCAUGCAGAUAUUAUUAGCCUCAUUAUUGUGGCCACGGACGAAUAUGGAUUUGAGGAUUCUCACUGCUCUGCACACUUGUCAAACAAAUGCAAAGAAUGGUCCUUUGUUCUGAAAAUUUCUUCACAUAAUCACUGGGGUAAAAAUGGGGCAAAGCAAAGUGAGUGUUGUCCACCUCCAAGAUGCAGGGAGAAUGGUACUACCUGCUCAGCUGCUGUUGGGCUGUAGGUUCUUGGCUACUUUGAAGAAGAGGAGGGAGCUGCCAGGAAACACAGGGCAGACUUUGCAGUGAUUUGUUGGGAAUUUUUCCCAUUUUCCCACAUGGCAGGAAAAGUGAUGUGAAAAGAGAUUGUUGGAAAAAGUGGACCAGAUGGGGCUGGCCCCAUCUCCCCCACCUGCCUAGCAACUUUGGAGAAGGUUUGGGAAGCAACACAAAACCAUUUUCUUUCUCCUCCAGCCUCUUCCCUUCUCCCAGGCCAUAACCUGAAUGUUUGUCUCCUUCCAACUGUCUUUCUUCUGUUGCAACUCCAGCAGCGUAUCCUGGCACUUUCUGAAGUGAAGUCAGAUUUUGGCAGCAUCCCUUCAGCUCUGAUGAAAGUUACAACGGGGAGGGAAUGUAAAUAUGCUGAAGGACAGAUUAUACAGUCACAGCUUUUGGGGUCGGCAUGUCAGAAGUCCUGAAGACAGAGUCGUUAUCCUCCCCUUUGUUCUUCCUGGCUAACUAUUCUUUACGUGGUCAGAGUGACCUACCGUACCGUCAGUCAUGUCAGCUCCUAAGUGGUUUAAGAUAAGUGUCCCUUGAUCACAACGGAAAGUGUGUGGAGAUUUUCCAAGAAAUAAGUGUUUUGAAAAAAUGCCUAUGGCUGGACUGUGCUGAAAUUCUAUGCUCAAAUGUAAAUAUAAUUGGAGCAUAAAGCAAUAAAUUUUUUCAAGCACCAACAUAAAAUAACUGCUAAGAAGGAGUAAAAAAAUCAGACUGAACUUUAAUGACCUUUGUGUAUGUAUAUUUGAUAAUAUAGCAUCUCUAGCCAAG
Molecule: long non-coding RNA, 1300 nt
Organism: Gallus gallus (chicken)
Lineage: Eukaryota; Metazoa; Chordata; Aves; Galliformes; Phasianidae
Source: Ensembl